GCCCCCCGCCGCCGGUGCGCGGCUGCGAGGAACAAAGGGAGCGGAGGACUCACCCAGCAGCGGAGUCGGGCUGCGCUGGCCGCCGGAGAGCGCGGCCCGCCCACCGGGUCACAUGGCUCCGAGCCGAGCAGAGGAUCAAAGGGGCUUUGUGGCCGCGGAACAAGGAGCCUCCCAGAGCGCGGGCAGAGGUGGUUUCCUAGGACAGGGAAUAAGGCAGGCCCGGCCCCAAGAACCAUUGCCAGAUGCCCGCCAGGAGGGACUCCGGUCACACCGGGUGUCACGGUUCACCUGGAGCCUUGCAGAUGACACCUCCACUCCACACCUGUCCUGUGGGCAAGGGCCUGCCUUCCCCGCACUCCCCUUGGAACCUCCUUCCCCGCCGCUCACCUGGCUGUGUCCCCCAGGGCCCAUCACCCCUUCCUGGGUGCCAGGUGGGCAAACCGCCAGCUCGCCAAGGCCACUCCUUGCCCUGCCUCCUCCUCUCCCUCCUCCCCCCUGCAGAGCCCUGGCCCAGGAGGUGGCCUGGGUGCUUUCUACACGUUCCCUCACUCAUGGCCCACGGGAUGGAGGGGGGUCUCCAGAGCACAGGAGAGGGAAUCCCUGCACCUGACAAGACCCUGCAGCCCAGAGGUGCUUUUCCAACCCAGAAGCCCCGCCCUCCGGACCCGCUCAGGGUCUCUGGGCUCAGCACACACAGCAGAGAGAACAGCCUGAGGCCUGCCCAGCCGCCCACCGCAUCUCCUGGCAGAAACAGAAGGCAAGGCACGCGUACACACACCACAUCUGUCACUGGCUGCUGUGGCCAGUGGCUACUGUACUGGGUGGCAACUCUCUCAAUAGUCUCGGUUCUACCCUGGAGUUAAGCCAGAUCCUUGGAGAGCUGUUUAGACCGUAUUAUUUUCGCCCUACACUUCAUUUUCAGCAGUGGAAAUGCAACUUCACUUGGGGGUGCUACAGGAUACAGCUUGAUGGAACCCACAGCAGGUGAUCACAGCGUCCCCCUCCUGGGGAUAUUUCUCCCAUAUUCUACUAUCAGAAAGAGCAGAACUUCUCCCAAGAAGUUACUUCACUAGAUUUGUGCUAAGCACCAGUCAGAAGACGUUCCAAAGACGUCCAUUAGGGCUACCACCCAUUUCUGGGGCUCUCGGUCCCCUAUGUGGUGCACCGCUGCUCAGGCCAGGGUGAACUUCCUGGCUCGAAGGCAGCCAGCCCCAGGCUGACCUGCAACCUGACCUGAGGCCUGGCUCACACAAGUGAUGAGCUGGGCCACUCAGAGGGUCCAAGAGCUUGAGGUCAUGUAGACUUCAGGGCUGGGAGCUAUCCGGGGCCAUCUGCAAAGGGAAAGAGGAGAGAAUGGGAGGGGGGGCGGGGAGCAGAGGAGGAGACUCCAGGAGAGAGAAAGGGAGUGGAGAGGGGGGCCCCACUGGGCUCCUGCAAACCCUGCCCCUUCUGAGCCGGGCCUUCCACACUCCGACUUCCUCGCACGUUAUGUCCUUCCAAUAACCGACCCGUCCUGUUUACUGACUUCAAAGUCACACACAGCCACACUGAUUAGGGAAAAAUCUAUAGAAACAGAAAGCGGAUUGGUGGUUGCGAAGACAGGGGUGGAAGGGUCAAGGGGGGAGGGUGUGGGAACUGACCACUUAAUAGACACGGGGCUUCCUUUUGAGGGGACGAGAAUGUUCUGGAGCUUGAUCUUGGUGAUGCUGCACAACGCAAUGAAUGUGCUCAGUGUUAUUAAGGGCAAAUUUCAUGUUCUGGUAUCUGAUACCAUAAAACAUAUAUUUAAAGGAAAAA
Canis lupus familiaris (dog) is the source of this 1797-nucleotide long non-coding RNA. RefSeq lists it as uncharacterized. NCBI's taxonomy places the organism in Eukaryota, Metazoa, Chordata, Mammalia, Carnivora, Canidae. The transcript has 2 exons. The record is from RefSeq and is a predicted model, not a curated record.